GGCAAGUUGGCUCAGAGGUUAAAGCGUCUGCCUCCAAUGCAGGAGACUCAGGUUCAAUCCCUGGGCCA
Molecule: transfer RNA, 68 nt
Filed under: Ovis aries (sheep)
Lineage: Eukaryota; Metazoa; Chordata; Mammalia; Artiodactyla; Bovidae
Rfam family: tRNA
About the family: Transfer RNA (tRNA) molecules are approximately 80 nucleotides in length. Their secondary structure includes four short double-helical elements and three loops (D, anti-codon, and T loops).
Source: Rfam by way of RNAcentral